RNAcentral lists this ribosomal RNA (153 nucleotides) under uncultured bacterium. RNAcentral's name for it is "partial 16S ribosomal RNA". It matches the Rfam family "Bacterial small subunit ribosomal RNA", at positions 355 to 525 of the family's 1533-position model. The record is from RNAcentral.
UGAGGAAUUUCGUCAAUGGCCGCAAGGCUGAACGAGCAACGCCGCGUGCAGGAAGAAGGUUUUCGGAUUGUAAACUGCUUUUCUGUGGGAAGAGAACGGACGAUACCACAGGAAGAAGCCCCGGCUAACUACGUGCCAGCAGCCGCGGUAAUA